GUGGGGAAUAUUGGGCAAUGGGCGCAAGCCUGACCCAGCAACGCCGCGUGAAGGAAGAAGGCUUUCGGGUUGUAAACUUCUUUUGUCAGGGACGAAGCAAGUGACGGUACCUGACGAAUAAGCCACGGCUAACUACGUGCCAGCAGCCGCGGUAAUACGUAGGUGGCAAGCGUUAUCCGGAUUUACUGGGUGUAAAGGGCGUGUAGGCGGGGAAGCAAGUCAGAUGUGAAAACCACGGGCUCAACCUGUGGCCUGCAUUUGAAACUGUUUUUCUUGAGUGCUGGAGAGGCAAUCGGAAUUCCGUGUGUAGCGGUGAAAUGCGUAGAUAUACGGAGGAACACCAGUGGCGAAGGCGGAUUGCUGGACAGUAACUGACGCUGAGGCGCGAAAGCGUGGGGAGCAAACAGG
This 408-nucleotide ribosomal RNA is filed under the name uncultured bacterium. RNAcentral describes it as "bacterial SSU rRNA". It matches the Rfam family "Bacterial small subunit ribosomal RNA", at positions 354 to 776 of the family's 1533-position model. The record is from RNAcentral.